UACGAGUGCCCCGAGCGUUAUCCGGAAUUAUUGGGCGUAAAGGGUGUGUAGGUGGUCGUGUUAGUCUUCCGUUAAAUUCUUCGGCUCAACCGGGGGCAUGCGGGGGAAACGGCACGACUCGAGGAUGCGAGAGGUCUGUGGAACUCUAAGUGUAGGGGUGAAAUCCGUUGAUAUUUAGGGGAACACCAAAAGCGAAGGCAGCAGACUGGCGCAUUCCUGACACUGAAACACGAAAGCGUGGGUAGCGAAUGGG
RNAcentral lists this ribosomal RNA (253 nucleotides) under uncultured prokaryote. Its description in RNAcentral is "partial 16S ribosomal RNA". It matches the Rfam family "Bacterial small subunit ribosomal RNA", at positions 524 to 776 of the family's 1533-position model. The record is from RNAcentral.